GACGAACGCUGGCGGCGUGCUUAACACAUGCAAGUCGAACGGAAAGGCCCUGCUUUUGUGGGGUGCUCGAGUGGCGAACGGGUGAGUAACACGUGAGUAACCUGCCCUUGACUUUGGGAUAACUUCAGGAAACUGGGGCUAAUACCGGAUAGGAGCUCCUGCUGCAUGGUGGGGGUUGGAAAGUUUCGGCGGCUGGGGAUGGACUCGCGGCUUAUCAGCUUGUUGGUGGGGUAGUGGCUUACCAAGGCUUUGACGGGUAGCCGGCCUGAGAGGGUGACCGGCCACAUUGGGACUGAGAUACGGACCAGACUCCUACGGGAGGCAGCAGUGGGGAAUAUUGCACAAUGGGCGGAAGCCUGAUGCAGCAACGCCGCGUGCGGGAUGACGGCCUUCGGGUUGUAAACCGCUUUCGCCUGUGACGAAGCGUGAGUGACGGUAAUGGGUAAAGAAGCACCGGCUAACUACGUG
RNAcentral lists this ribosomal RNA (468 nucleotides) under uncultured bacterium. RNAcentral's name for it is "partial 16S ribosomal RNA". It matches the Rfam family "Bacterial small subunit ribosomal RNA", at positions 28 to 507 of the family's 1533-position model. The record is from RNAcentral.